RNAcentral lists this ribosomal RNA (497 nucleotides) under uncultured bacterium. RNAcentral's name for it is "partial 16S ribosomal RNA". It matches the Rfam family "Bacterial small subunit ribosomal RNA", at positions 28 to 507 of the family's 1533-position model. The record is from RNAcentral.
GAUGAACGCUGGCGGCGUGCUUAAUACAUGCAAGUCGAGCGAACAGAUGAGGAGCUUGCUCCUCUGACGUUAGCGGCGGACGGGUGAGUAACACGUGGAUAACCUACCUAUAAUACUGGGAUAACUUCGGGAAACCGGAGCUAAUACCGGAUAAUAUAUUGAACCGCAUGGUUCAAUAGUGAAAGACGGUUUUGCUGGCACUUAUAGAUGGAUCCGGGCGGCGUUGGCUAGUUGGUAAGGUAACGGCUUACCAAGGCAACGAUGCGUAGCCGACCUGAGGGGGUGAUCGGCGACCCUGGAACUGAGACACGGUCCAGACUCCUACGGGAGGCAGCAGUAGGGAAUCUUCCGCAAUGGGCGGAAGCCUGACGGAGCGGCGCCGCGUGAGUGAUGAAGGUCUUCGGAUCGUAAAACUCUGUUAUUAGGGAAGAACAAAUGUGUAAGUAACUAUGCACGUCUUGACGGUACCUAAUCAGAAAGCCACGGCUAACUACGUG